CUACGUGCCAGCAGCCGCGGUAAUACGGAGGAUGCGAGCGUUAUCCGGAAUCAUUGGGUUUAAAGGGUCCGUAGGCGGGCUAAUAAGUCAGAGGUGAAAGCGCUCAGCUCAACUGAGCAACUGCCUUUGAAACUGUUAGUCCUGAAUGGUUGUGAAGUAGUUGGAAUGUGUAGUGUAGCGGUGAAAUGCUUAGAUAUUACACAGAACACCGAUAGCGAAGGCAUAUUACUAACAAUUAAUUGACGCUGAUGGACGAAAGCGUGGGGAGCGAACAGGAUUAGAUACCCUGGUAGUCCACGCUGUAAACGAUGGAUACUAGCUGUUUGGUUGCAAGACUGAGUGGCUAAGCGAAAGUGAUAAGUAUCCCACCUGGGGAGUACGCACGCAAGUGUGAAACUCAAAGGAAUUGACGGGGGCCCGCACAAGCGGUGGAGCAUGUGGUUUAAUUCGAUGCAACGCGAAGAACCUUACCUACUCUUGACAUCCAGAGAACAUUC
Molecule: ribosomal RNA, 497 nt
Filed under: uncultured bacterium
Lineage: Bacteria
Description: bacterial SSU rRNA
Rfam family: Bacterial small subunit ribosomal RNA
Source: RNAcentral